Long non-coding RNA from Notolabrus celidotus (New Zealand spotty), 869 nucleotides. RefSeq lists it as uncharacterized. NCBI's taxonomy places the organism in Eukaryota, Metazoa, Chordata, Actinopteri, Labriformes, Labridae. The transcript has 3 exons. The record is from RefSeq and is a predicted model, not a curated record.
UGUCAGUUCAUUGUGAAUGUCUCCCUGUGCAUCAAAACCGGUCCCUGCAUUGUUCUUUGUGGCUUUCCCUGAUUUUUCGGGAUUUUGUCUUUUUGGACGUUUUGUUAUCAGUUUGCAGCAGUCACAUGAUAUGUUGUCACCCUGCCUGCUUGCUAGCAGUGAAAUUCCCUUGCUGCUUUGUCUCACCAACUCACCCCGACAAGAAAAAAACAGCAGCAGUACGGAUACAGCCGUCUGUGUACCUUGAUCCCUCCCCACGAGUGGUUGGACAGGAAAUCCACAGGUGAUGUUACACCUGGUUGGACAGGAUAUCUCAGAAGGAAGUCCAGCUCUGCAGGGUUGAUUUCUUUAUUCAUCAGCAGGAUCUGGGGACGAAACAAACAGGACGGACUCUGAGCUGUUGUGUUUUCAGCACAAAGCACAUUUCCUCUCCGCUUGAUUAGAUCCAAACAGGACCGCCGGUCUCAGGAGCCGCUGAUUCUUGUUCUGAAAACAAACCAUGCAGAAGAUGAAACUGGCCCCCAUUCUUACCUGGAAGGCGAGCUGAGCGAUAUACGUGAGCUUGUCACACUCAAACAGGCCUCUGGUGGUGUACUGGAACACCGAGGAGGUGAUGUUGUCAAUCAGGUUGGACACUCGCUGCUUCAGAACCUCGUCUGGCUCCGCCUUCAGGACUGCUUUCUGGAAGACCACGCUGAACGCCUGAGAACAGACGGGUCAGAGACGACACUUAAAUAUGUCUCUGACUUCAGAGUGAGACCAAAGGAACAAAAGUAACACUCAGAGUAGAAUCGAUUCAAACCAUGAUCAAACUAUAAAGCAGUGUAUGGUUCAUUUUGACCUUUCAAUAAUAAAUUAACACACCACAA